AGCCUGCCCUCCGCGGAAU
RNAcentral lists this unclassified non-coding RNA (19 nucleotides) under Mus musculus (house mouse). RNAcentral's name for it is "oocyte_clustered_small_RNA720". The record is from RNAcentral. Lineage: Eukaryota; Metazoa; Chordata; Mammalia; Rodentia; Muridae.